GACGAACGCUGGCGGCGUGCUUAACACAUGCAAGUCGAACGGAAAGGCCCUGCUUUUGUGGGGUGCUCGAGUGGCGAACGGGUGAGUAACACGUGAGUAACCUGCCCUUGACUUUGGGAUAACUUCAGGAAACUGGGGCUAAUACCGGAUAGGAGCUCCUGCUGCAUGGUGGGGGUUGGAAAGUUUCGGCGGUUGGGGAUGGACUCGCGGCUUAUCAGCUUGUUGGUGGGGUAGUGGUUUACCCAGGCUUUGACGGGUAGCCGGCCUGAGAGGGUGACCGGCCACAUUGGGACUGAGAUACGGCCCAGAAUCCUACGGGAGGCAGCAGUGGGGAAGAUUGCACAAUGGGCGGAAGCCUGAUGCAGCAACGCCGCGUGCGGGAUGACGGCCUUCGGGUUGUAAACCGCUGUCGCCUGUGACGAAGCGUGAGUGACGGUAAUGGGUAAAGAAGCACCGGCUAACUACGUG
Molecule: ribosomal RNA, 468 nt
Filed under: uncultured bacterium
Lineage: Bacteria
Description: partial 16S ribosomal RNA
Rfam family: Bacterial small subunit ribosomal RNA
Source: RNAcentral